GACGGGGCCCGCACAAGCGGUGGAGCACGUGGUUUAAUUCGAUGCAAACCGAAGAACCUUACCUGGUCUUGACAUCCCGGAGACCCUUAGGAAACUAGGGGGUGCCUUCCAUCUGGAAGAAUCUGGAGACAGGUGCUGCAUGGCUGUCGUCAGCUCGUGUCGUGAGAUGUUGGGUUAAGUCCCGCAACGAGCGCAACCCUUGCCUUUAGUUGCCAGCAGUUCGGCUGGGCACUCUAAAGGGACUGCCGGUGUUAAACCGGAGGAAGGUGGGGAUGACGUCAAGUCCUCAUGGCCUUUAUGACCAGGGCUACACACGUACUACAAUGGCCGAUACAAAGGGCAGCGACACUGCGAGGUGAAGCCAAUCCCGUAAAAUCGGUCUCAGUCCGGAUUGGAGUCUGCAACUCGACUCCAUGAAGUUGGAAUCGCUAGUAAUCGUGGAUCAGCAUGCCACGGUGAAUACGUUCCCGGGCCUU
RNAcentral lists this ribosomal RNA (476 nucleotides) under uncultured Desulfobulbus sp. RNAcentral's name for it is "bacterial SSU rRNA". It matches the Rfam family "Bacterial small subunit ribosomal RNA", at positions 916 to 1381 of the family's 1533-position model. Lineage: Bacteria; Pseudomonadati; Thermodesulfobacteriota; Desulfobulbia; Desulfobulbales; Desulfobulbaceae. The record is from RNAcentral.